CAAGCAGCAGCAGCUGACGGGAUUCUAAUCAACACACACACACACACACACACACAUAACCACAACCCUGGAGGGUUGGGGAUGGUAACGGUUUCAACACACCGGAGUAGAGCAAUGUGUGCGUUAUCAAGGCGAUAAGGAGGUAAACAGAGCGCGUUAGCAAAGCGCGUCGCACGUUCCAAAUUGCAGUAGGCCGCCAGUCACACAGACCCCGUUUGACGUUUAGUGCACAGUGUGUGUUGGUGCGUAGCUGGAGCGACUCGAUGUUGCUAGUGAACGAGUGAGAGUUUUAGGCGAUUCUUUUUUAGUGCCGCGGAUGGAAGGAAUGAUUUUGCGGGUAGAAUCGAACCGAGCAGCACCGGCAGUCCGAUGGGAGAGUGCGUCAAGUCGUGUUGCUACUGUUGUGCCUCGUGCUACAACACACCGAUCUGCUGUGUUGGAAGUCUGUGCUGCGUGCUGAUACCGCUGCUCGGGCUGCUGGUGAUUCUGUUCGGCGCAGUGUUUGGCAUGAUCGUUGGCAUAGCCUGGCUGACACAGCACCACACCGAACCGGCGACCGUCAACCGUAUGCUUGCGAUACUGGCAAACAGCUCCGCCGUGGAGUCUUUCACCGCGAGCGAACAAAGUGUUGUGGAAUAGGCGCUGGAUGGUGGAGGAGUUGUUAUCAAUCCAUUAUCAAGUACUUCCGACACAACACGACCAGCGGUGUCAACACACAAAAAAGCAUCAUUAGAGCAACUUUGUACGCUAGGUCUUUGCCGUACAGCAACAACACCCCCGGGGGGCAGACUGGCAUGGUUCUCGGAUGGUCAAGGAAAAUGCGUGCGGUGCGGCAGAUGCCACCUCGGAGAUUAGAUUGCGGAGAUCGAUUGGCCGAAGCAGUAGCAGCACUUCACGAUACACAGGCCGGCAUCAUCGUUAGCUGACACAUACACAAACACACUAGCAUACGUAUAGGAUAUAGGUCAAUAGGUCUAGCAAACUGUAAGAAGGGUCUUAGCAUAAUUAGUAUGCAGAUUGCGAAUGCGAUCACCGAUCCGCCUAAAAGAGGGAGAGAGAGAGAACAAAACAAAAAACAAGAUUGAUGAUGGUUUUGAGGCACCGUUUUGUACUGCGUGUGAAACGCAACUGGCAGGAGGUUCAGGUGGGAGGGUUUUGGUUUGUUCUUAUCAGCAAAUCGAAGAUUUAGCCCAACGAUAGUGCGCAUAAAAGGUUCCGAUCUUACGCAAA
Molecule: long non-coding RNA, 1230 nt
Organism: Anopheles merus
Lineage: Eukaryota; Metazoa; Arthropoda; Insecta; Diptera; Culicidae
Exons: 4
Source: RefSeq, a predicted model, not a curated record